UACGUAGGGUCCAAGCGUUGUCCGGAAUUAUUGGGCGUAAAGAGCUUGUAGGCGGUUUGUCGCGUCUGCUGUGAAAUUUCGGGGCUCAACCCCGAACUUGCAGUGGGUACGGGCAGACUAGAGUGUGGUAGGGGAGACUGGAAUUCCUGGUGUAGCGGUGAAAUGCGCAGAUAUCAGGAGGAACACCGAUGGCGAAGGCAGGUCUCUGGGCCACUACUGACGCUGAGAAGCGAAAGCAUGGGGAGCGAACAGG
Molecule: ribosomal RNA, 253 nt
Filed under: uncultured bacterium
Lineage: Bacteria
Description: partial 16S ribosomal RNA
Rfam family: Bacterial small subunit ribosomal RNA
Source: RNAcentral